RNAcentral lists this ribosomal RNA (741 nucleotides) under uncultured Candidatus Poseidoniales archaeon. RNAcentral describes it as "bacterial SSU rRNA". It matches the Rfam family "Archaeal small subunit ribosomal RNA", at positions 102 to 857 of the family's 1478-position model. The record is from RNAcentral. Lineage: Archaea; Methanobacteriati; Thermoplasmatota; Candidatus Poseidoniia; Candidatus Poseidoniales.
GGAUAACCUGCCCUAUUGUCUGGAAUAACCUCGGGAAACUGAGAACAAGGCCGGAUAGCCCACAAUGCCUGGAACGGUUUGUGGGUGAAGAUAGGAUGGGUCUGCGGCGUAUCAGGUUGUAGGGGGUGUAAUGGACCUCCUAGCCAUCGACGCGUACGGGUGUUGGGAGACAUAGCCCGGAGAUGGAUUCUGAGACACGAAUCCAGACCCUACGGGGUGCAGCAGGCGCGAAAACUUCACACUGCAGGAAACUGUGAUGAGGGAACUCCAAGUGCUAUCACUAUGUGGUAGCUUUUCUUGACUAUUAAUCGGUCAUGGAAUAAGGGCUGGGAAAGACCGGUGCCAGCCGCCGCGGUAAUACCGGCAGCUCAAGUGGUCGUCGCUUUUAUUGGGCCUAAAACGUCCGUAGCCUGUUUGGUAAAUCUGUGGGUAAAUCAACCAGCUUAACUGGUUGAAUUCUGCAGAGACUGCCAGACUAGGGACCGGGAGAGGUGUGGGGUACUCUAGGGGUAGGGGUAAAAUCCUGUCAUCCUUAGAGGACCACCAGUUGCGAAGGCGCCACACUGGAACGGAUCCGACGGUCAGGGACGAAGCCUAGGGGCACGAACCGGAUUAGAUACCCGGGUAGUCCUAGGUGUAAACGCUGUGAACUUGGUGUCGGGGAUCCGUAAUGGGUCCUCGGUGCCGGAGUGAAGAUGUUAAGUUCACCGCCUGGGGAGUACGGUCGCAAGGCUGAAACUU